GAUGAACGCUGGCGGUCUGCUUAACACAUGCAAGUCGAACGGAAUCCUUCGGGAUUUAGUGGCGGACGGGUGAGUAACGCGUGAGAAUCUGCCUUCAGGUUCGGGACAACAGCUGGAAACGGCUGCUAAUACCGGAUGUGCCGAGAGGUGAAAGCUUUAGUGCCUGAAGAUGAGCUCGCGUCUGAUUAGCUAGUAGGAGUGGUAAUGGCACCCCUAGGCGACGAUCAGUAGCUGGUCUGAGAGGAUGAUCAACCACACUGGGACUGAGAAACGGCCCAGACGCGUACGGGAGGCAGCAGUGGGGAAUUUUCCGCAAUGGGCGCAAGCCUGACGGAGCAAGACCGCGUGAGGGAAGAAGGUCUGUGGAUUGUAAACCUCUUUUGAUGGGGAAGAAGACAGUGACGGUACCCAUCGAAUCAGCCUCGGCUAACUCCGUGCCAGCCGCCGCCGUAA
RNAcentral lists this ribosomal RNA (453 nucleotides) under uncultured bacterium. RNAcentral describes it as "partial 16S ribosomal RNA". It matches the Rfam family "Bacterial small subunit ribosomal RNA", at positions 28 to 523 of the family's 1533-position model. The record is from RNAcentral.